Non-coding RNA from Ciona savignyi (Pacific transparent sea squirt), 73 nucleotides. NCBI's taxonomy places the organism in Eukaryota, Metazoa, Chordata, Ascidiacea, Phlebobranchia, Cionidae. The record is from Rfam.
GGGGGUGUAGCUCAGAUGGUAGAGCGCGCGCUUAGCAUGCGCGAGGUACCGGGAUCGAUACCCGGCACCUCCA